CCACAUGUAAGCUAGCCGCCUCGAACGUAUCAUAAAGAGGGCCUCACCUGUCACUACCCUUCCUAUUUUUCUGGUUACAGUCACCGAGAGGCCAACAUCCUGCCACAACGUUCAGUGGCCACAUAAAUCCACUCGCGCCAAGCAUAGAUAGAGCCUCUCAAGCCGCUUGGCAACUAGCAGGGCCUCACCUGUCACCAAAACAAUAAG
Non-coding RNA from Pelobates cultripes (western spadefoot toad), 207 nucleotides. The record is from the annotation of a GenBank genome assembly. NCBI's taxonomy places the organism in Eukaryota, Metazoa, Chordata, Amphibia, Anura, Pelobatidae.